Molecule: ribosomal RNA, 465 nt
Filed under: uncultured bacterium
Lineage: Bacteria
Description: partial 16S ribosomal RNA
Rfam family: Bacterial small subunit ribosomal RNA
Source: RNAcentral
CCUACGGGAGGCAGCAGUGGGGAAUAUUGCGCAAUGGGCGAAAGCCUGACGCAGCGACGCCGCGUGAGGGAUGAAGGUCUUCGGAUCGUAAACCUCUGUCAGCAGGGAAGAACGGUCACUGUGCUAAUCAGCAGUGAAUUGACGGUACCUGCAAAGGAAGCACCGGCUAACUCCGUGCCAGCAGCCGCGGUAAUACGGAGGGUGCGAGAUUUAAUCGGAAUUACUGGGCGUAAAGCGCUCGUAGGCGGUAUGUCAAGUCAAGGAGGAAAUCCCCGCGCUCAACGGGGGAACUGCCUUUGAAACGGGCAAACUGGAGUGUGUGAGAGGAUAGUGGAAUUCCAGGUGUAGGAGUGAAAUCCGUAGAUAUCUGGAGGAACAUCAGUGGCGAAGGCGACUAUCUGGCACAUAACUGACGCUGAGGAGCGAAAGCGUGGGUAGCAAACAGGAUUAGAUACCCGAGUAGUC